Molecule: ribosomal RNA, 486 nt
Filed under: uncultured bacterium
Lineage: Bacteria
Description: bacterial SSU rRNA
Rfam family: Bacterial small subunit ribosomal RNA
Source: RNAcentral
GAUGAACGCUAGCUACAGGCUUAACACAUGCAAGUCGAGGGGCAGCACAGUGUAGCAAUACAUGGGUGGCGACCGGCGCACGGGUGCGUAACGCGUAUCCAACCUUCCCGUUACUCAGGGAUAGCCUUCCGAAAGGGAGAUUAAUACCUGAUGGUAUUCAAAUUUCGCAUGUUAUUUGAAUUAAAGAUUUAUCGGUAACGGAUGGGGAUGCGUGACAUUAGAUAGUAGGCGGGGUAACGGCCCACCUAGUCUACGAUGUCUAGGGGUUCUGAGAGGAAGGUCCCCCACACUGGAACUGAGACACGGUCCAGACUCCUACGGGAGGCAGCAGUGGGGAAUAUUGGGCAAUGGAGGCAACUCUGAACCAGCCAAGUAGCGUGCAGGACGACGGCCCUAUGGGUUGUAAAACUGCUUUUAUGCGGGGAUAAAUGAGCCUACGUGUAGGUUUUUGCAGGUACCGCAUGAAUAAGACCGGCUAAUUCCGUG